RNA transcript from Pipistrellus kuhlii (Kuhl's pipistrelle), 2512 nucleotides. It is a transcript of the gene named protein only RNase P catalytic subunit, with no coding region annotated. The record is from RefSeq and is a predicted model, not a curated record. The transcript has 8 exons. NCBI's taxonomy places the organism in Eukaryota, Metazoa, Chordata, Mammalia, Chiroptera, Vespertilionidae.
AGGCUGAGCCCUUUGUGGCCCGUCCUCCCUCCCUUCCCUGAGUGUUGGCCCGGCCUCUCCCCUCCUCCCCCAGCCCAUUCCCUGGCCUGACGAGUCCGGCGGUCUGGGGACGGUGGUUCUGCGGGGCAGGCCGCUAGCCUGGCUUUCGCCGCUGCCCUUGCUGGUGGGGCUGGGCCUCCGGGUCACGAUAUUCGACUUGACGUCUCGCCUGCAGCAAGGCAUCCAGGGCAUCCUAUCCCUUCUCAGGGACAGCUGUGAUUCUCGGGAGUCAAACUGGUCCGUCCUCCUUGUGCUUUUUCCUCAGGUUCGCGGACUGGACUGUAACAGGCACCAGCGAUUCCUGCUCCGGCUCUGCGGUUGCGGCAGACGUCGGAUGUCCCCGGAUCAGCAUUGCUCAAGGGAGAAAACUCAUAAGACUUCAUUGCUAUUAAGUAACCGCAAAAGCAGAGCCUUGGUUUUUCUGUGAGAAAUUGAACACCGUCUUUUAAAAAGUUGCGUUUCGACUCGUCCUCUCCCCCCCCCCCCCCCCACAUUCGUGCAUUAUGCGGUAGAAGUAAGGGCUUUUUCUUCACCAUCUGCUGAUCUCCCUGCACAAUGAAUUUCUGUUUCACUACUAUUAGAAGCUUUCCUAAGCUUUGGAAAAACAACCCAUAUCUUGGAGUCGGCCCAGGACACUCUUACAACUCUUUCUUUCUGAAAGAUGGUUAUGGCAUCAGGAACCAACAGAAGUUGUUUUCUCUUAAAACAGUGUCUCCACAAAAUACCAAAGCAAUAAACCUGACUGCCAAGGCCAGAUAUCGCAGAAAGGAAGAUGAGGGCAGUAAUAAAGUUUCUUCUGAGUUUCCUCACCUUUUUGCAGCUGGAGCAGCUAAGAAAAGAUCUCAAAUGAAUCCUCAUAAUCAAGAUCUUGCCUUGUCACCUGAGAGAAACAUUGUUCAGCUCCCAAGCAAACCUUUGAAUUCAGAGCAGUGGGAUAAACUUAAAGAAGAUUUCAAAGGAAAAGCUAAUUUUGAAGAUUGGAUCAUUAUACAGUUGAUUAACUACAAUAGCUCUAUAGAUGUGGCCAAAUCUUUGCUGGCCUGGGUAGCUGCAAAAAAUAAUGGUAUUGUAAGCUAUAAUUUGCUGGUCAAGUAUUUGUGUCUCUGUGUCUUUCAUAAGCAGACAUCAGAAGUUUUUGAUGUCUAUGAAAUCUUAAAAGCCAGAUACAAGACUUUAGAAACUUCAGCAAGCACUCUUCUCAUCCGAGGAUUAAUCCAUUCAGACAGAUGGAGAGAGGCUUUGCUGCUGUUAGAAGACAUCAAAAAAGUCAUGAUCCCUUCAAAAAAGAAUUAUGGUGACUGUAUCCAGGGAGCCCUCCUUCAUCAAGAUGUAGACAUAGCUUGGAAUUUGUUUCAGGAAUUGUUAGGUCAUGAUCUUAUUCCUAUGAUGGAAACUUUGAAAGCCUUCUUUGAUUUUGGAAAAGACUUAAAAGAUGAUCAAUAUUCAAAGAAACUGCUAGACCUUCUUUUGUAUCUAAGAAAUAAUCAGCUAUAUCCUGGGGAAUCAUUUGCACACAGUAUAAAAACAUGGUUUGAGAGUGUUCCUGGAGAACAAUGGAAAGGACAAUUUACCACAAUCCAGAAAAAUGGUCAAUGUUCGGGCUGUGGAAAAACCAUAGAGUCUAUUCACUUGAGUGCAGAAGAAUAUGAGCUCCUCAAGAGAAAAAUCCUGAGCGAUGUGAUAGAUGGAGGUGACCAAUACAAAAAGACAACACCUCAGGAACUAAAGAGAUUUCAGAACUUUGUGGAACAUUGUCCUCCUUUUGAUGUCGUCGUUGAUGGGCUCAACGUUGCCAAGAUGUUUCCUAAAGUUCGUGAGUCUCAAGUUCUCUUGAAAGUGGUCUCUCAGCUAGCCAAGGCUAAUCUUCGAGUGCUGGUCCUGGGCCGGAAACACAUGACAGUACAGAGUGCUCGGUGGAGAAAGGAUGAGAUGGAAAAGGUGCAAAAGCAAGCCAGCUGUUUCUUUGCUGACAACAUCUCAGAGGAUGAUCCGUUCCUUCUGUAUGCCACACUGAACUCAGGGAAUCACUGCAAGUUUAUCACAAAAGAUCUGCUGCGGGACCAUAAGGCCUGUCUACCUGAUGCCAAGACCCAACGCCUGUUCUUUAAGUGGCAGCAGGGACAUCAGCUGGCAAUUAUUAAUAGAUUUCUAGGAUCAAAAGUAAUUUUUCAGCAUAUUCCCAGCUAUGACACAGUGGUGCAAACAACUGGAGACUCGUGGCACAUACCAUAUGAUGAAGACCUGGUGGAAAGAUAUUCUUAUGAAGUGCCAACCAAAUGGCUUUGCCUUCACCGAAAGAUAUAAAGACUUUUACCCGCAUGCUAAAUUUGUAUUUGGGUGCCCUCCUGCUUGGCAUACUUGUUGAAAAACACUGGUUUAGACCAUUGCUUCUGUCCUGUUCUGUUUGGUCCAGUUGGUUUUUAUGUCAACAAAUUGGUUUUUUAAUUAAAUGAAUUAUAAUAUAUUUUCACAA